AGAGCUUGACAUCCCGGUGACCGGCCGAGUAAUGUUGGCCUUUCCUUCGGGACACCGGAGACAGGUGGUGCAUGGUUGUCGUCAGCUCGUGUCGUGAGAUGUUGGGUUAAGUCCCGCAACGAGCGCAACCCUUACAUUCAGUUGCUACGCAAGAGCACUCUGGAUGGACUGCCGUUGACAAAACGGAGGAAGGUGGGGAUGACGUCAAAUCAUCAUGCCCCUUACGCCCUGGGCCACACGCGUACUACAAUGGCGCAAACAGAGGGAAGCAACAUCGCGAGGUGAAGCAAAUCCCAAAAAGGCGUCCCAGUUCAGACUGCAGGCUGCAACUCGCCUGCACGAAGUUGGAAUUGCUAGUAAUCGCGAAUCAGAAUGUCGCGGUGAAUACGUUCCCGGGCU
This 399-nucleotide ribosomal RNA is filed under the name uncultured bacterium. RNAcentral's name for it is "bacterial SSU rRNA". It matches the Rfam family "Bacterial small subunit ribosomal RNA", at positions 976 to 1379 of the family's 1533-position model. The record is from RNAcentral.